AAUCAACGCUGGCGGCGUGCCUAACACAUGCAAGUCGAACGCGAAAGCCCCGCAAGGGGUAAGUAGAGUGGCAAACGGGUGAGUAACACGUGGGUGACCUGCCUUCGAGUGGGGGAUAACGUCCCGAAAGGGACGCUAAUACCGCAUGACAUCCUGCUUUUGAAAAAGCGGAGAUCAAAGCUGGGGAUCGCAAGACCUAGCGCUUGAAGAGGGGCCCGCGCCUGAUUAGCUAGUUGGUGAGGUAACGGCUCACCAAGGCGACGAUCAGUAUCCGGCCUGAGAGGGCGGACGGACACACUGGGACUGAGACACGGCCCAGACUCCUACGGGAGGCAGCAGUGGGGAAUUGUUCGCGAUGGGCGCAAGCCUGACGACGCAACGCCGCGUGGAGGACGAAGAUCUUCGGGUCGUAAACUCCUGUCGAGCGGGACGAACGCUUCGCGGAUGAAUAAUCCGCGGAAUUGACGGUACCGCUAAAGGAAGCCCCGGCUAACUCCGUG
RNAcentral lists this ribosomal RNA (500 nucleotides) under uncultured bacterium. RNAcentral describes it as "partial 16S ribosomal RNA". It matches the Rfam family "Bacterial small subunit ribosomal RNA", at positions 32 to 507 of the family's 1533-position model. The record is from RNAcentral.